AUAAUUAUAUAUUUAUAUGCAUAACGCAUCCACGUAUACACUCCCAUCAAUUGUUCAUAUAUAUUAUUCUCCUAGCUUAGUGGCCUAGAGAAACUUAUACAUUAUAGCGCCAAAAGUCCCGGAGAACUUGUGUAAUCCUCUCGUUUAUUGAUAACGAUUGAGACGAUCAAAAUACGUAUACAUAUUGAAAUUAUGGUCUCUAAACCAUAACGUAGGUACAUAAGCGGAUGCUGCCGAAGAAUAGAGAAUUAGGGAACCCCAAGUGGGUAGAAAAAGACGUAAACACAGCCGAUAAACUCAUAUGUCUUGUCCGAACAAAGGUACAACAUUAUUAUUUCUGGAAAAGCCCCACAAAUCUUUAGUGAAUUUGGAAGUUACACUAACUUCUUGUUGUGGCUCAAUCUUAUAUACGUAUGGGCAGCAAUGGACGAAAGGUGUUGGGGUCACAAUAAUGAAUAUAUAGGCCAAGAAGUUUUUUUUUUUUUGUAAGUAACGUAAAAGGCCUUAGAGGAAACUUCCUGGAAGCUGCCUUCUUGAUAUUGCGUCUAUGUACUUCUCACUUGCAUGUGGAAGAGAUGUUGUUAUCGACCCCCUUCUUUGGAUAGACAAUCUACAUGGUAUCUUUUGUCUUUGUUU
RNAcentral lists this long non-coding RNA (636 nucleotides) under Capsella rubella. Its description in RNAcentral is "long non-coding RNA (CRUB_LNC003361)". The record is from RNAcentral. Lineage: Eukaryota; Viridiplantae; Streptophyta; Magnoliopsida; Brassicales; Brassicaceae.